Symphalangus syndactylus (siamang) is the source of this 987-nucleotide long non-coding RNA. RefSeq lists it as uncharacterized. The record is from RefSeq and is a predicted model, not a curated record. NCBI's taxonomy places the organism in Eukaryota, Metazoa, Chordata, Mammalia, Primates, Hylobatidae.
UGCAGUCAUGUGUUACUGACAGGGAUAUAUUCUGAGAAAUGUGUCCUUCGGUGAUUUAGUCAUAGUGUGAACAUCAUAGAGUGCACUUAGACCCAGAUGGUGUAGCCUACUACAUACCUAAGCUAUAUGGUAUAGCCUGUUAUGCCUAGACUAAAAAUCUGUGCAGCAUGUUACUGUACUGAGUACUGUAGGCAACUGUAACACAAUGGUAGGUACUUGUGUCUCUAAACAUAUCUAAAUAUAGAAAAGGGACAGUAAAAAUAUGGCAUAAAUGAUAAAAUAAUGGUACACCUCUAUGGGCGACUUACCAUAAACUGAGAUUGCAGGACUGGAAGUUGCUCUGGGUGAGUCAGUGAGUGAGUGGUGAAUGAAUGUGAAGGCAUAGGAUAUUACUGUACACUACUCUAGAGUUUACAAACUGUAUACUUAGGCUACACUAAAUUUAUAAAAAAUAUUUUUUCAAUAAUAAGCUUAGCUUACUAUAAAUUUUUACUUUAUAAGAUUUUUCAUUUUUAAAACUUUUUUGCUCUUUUGUGAUAAUAUUUAGCUUAAAACAAAAACACAUUUUUCUUUACAUUUUCUUUAUUACUUAUUCUAUAAGCUUGCUCUAUUUUUAAUUUUUUUAUUUUUAUUUUUUACUUUGUAAACUAGUUUUGUUAAAAACUAAGACUAACUAGCCUAGGCUAAUGCAUUGUCUCUGUGUCUUAGUCAUCACAUCAGAAUCAUCAAUAUCACUGUCUUCCACCUCCACAUCUUGUCCCACUGGAAAAUCUUCAGGGGCAGUAACAUCCAUGGAGCUGUCAUCCCUUAUGAUAACAAUGCCUUCUGGAAUACCUCCUGAAGGACCUGCUGAGAAGAUGCAGCAACAAGGUGCCAUCUUGGAAGCAGAGACAGGGCCUUCACCAGACACCAAACCCGAAGAUCCCUUCAUCCUGGACUUUCAGCCUCCAGAACUGUGAGAAAUAAAUUCCUAUUCUUUUAAAAUUA